UAGAGUUUGAUCAUGGCUCAGAUUGAACGCUGGCGGCAGGCCUAACACAUGCAAGUCGAGCGGUAGAGAGAAGCUUGCUUCUCUUGAGAGCGGCGGACGGGUGAGUAAUGCCUAGGAAUCUGCCUGGUAGUGGGGGAUAACGUUCGGAAACGGACGCUAAUACCGCAUACGUCCUACGGGAGAAAGCAGGGGACCUUCGGGCCUUGCGCUAUCAGAUGAGCCUAGGUCGGAUUAGCUAGUUGGUGAGGUAAUGGCUCACCAAGGCGACGAUCCGUAACUGGUCUGAGAGGAUGAUCAGUCACACUGGAACUGAGACACGGUCCAGACUCCUACGGGAGGCAGCAGUGGGGAAUAUUGGACAAUGGGCGAAAGCCUGAUCCAGCCAUGCCGCGUGUGUGAAGAAGGUCUUCGGAUUGUAAAGCACUUUAAGUUGGGAGGAAGGGCAGUUACCUAAUACGUGAUUGUUUUGACGUUACCGACAGAAUAAGCACCGGCUAACUCUGUGCCAGCAGCCGCGGUAAUAC
Molecule: ribosomal RNA, 524 nt
Filed under: Pseudomonas sp.
Lineage: Bacteria; Pseudomonadati; Pseudomonadota; Gammaproteobacteria; Pseudomonadales; Pseudomonadaceae
Description: bacterial SSU rRNA
Rfam family: Bacterial small subunit ribosomal RNA
Source: RNAcentral